CCUACGGAGCGCAGCAGUGGGGAAUAUUGGACUAUGGGCGAAAGCCUGAUCCAGCCAUGCCGCGUGUGUGAAGAAGGCCUUCGGGUUGUAAAGCACUUUCAGUGGGGAAGAAAGCCUUGGGGCUAAUACCCUCGAGGAAGGACAUCACCCACAGAAGAAGCACCGGCUAACUCCGUGCCAGCAGCCGCGGUAAUACGGAGGGUGCGAGCGUUAAUCGGAAUUACUGGGCGUAAAGCGCGCGUAGGCGGUCUGAUAAGCCGGUUGUGAAAGCCCCGGGCUCAACCUGGGAACGGCAUCCGGAACUGUCAGGCUAGAGUGCAGGAGAGGAAGGUAGAAUUCCCGGUGUAGCGGUGAAAUGCGUAGAGAUCGGGAGGAAUACCAGUGGCGAAGGCGGCCUUCUGGACUGACACUGACGCUGAGGUGCGAAAGCGUGGGUAGCAAACAGGAUUAGAUACCCGAGUAGUC
Molecule: ribosomal RNA, 465 nt
Filed under: Vreelandella stevensii
Lineage: Bacteria; Pseudomonadati; Pseudomonadota; Gammaproteobacteria; Oceanospirillales; Halomonadaceae
Description: partial 16S ribosomal RNA
Rfam family: Bacterial small subunit ribosomal RNA
Source: RNAcentral